Molecule: ribosomal RNA, 230 nt
Filed under: uncultured bacterium
Lineage: Bacteria
Description: partial 16S ribosomal RNA
Rfam family: Bacterial small subunit ribosomal RNA
Source: RNAcentral
GAUCCUGGCUCAGGACGAACGCUGGCGGCGUGCUUAACACAUGCAAGUCGAACGAGAAUCUGUGGAACGAGGAUUCGUCCAAGUGAAGCAGAGGACAGUGGCGGACGGGUGAGUAACGCGUGAGGAACCUGCCUUUCAGAGGGGGACAACAGUUGGAAACGACUGCUAAUACCGCAUGACACAUAGAUGUCGCAUGGCAUUUAUGUCAAAGAUUUAUCGCUGAAAGAUGG